Molecule: long non-coding RNA, 1029 nt
Filed under: Parus major (Great Tit)
Lineage: Eukaryota; Metazoa; Chordata; Aves; Passeriformes; Paridae
Description: lncRNA (ENSPMJG00000015855.1)
Source: RNAcentral
AGAAUGCAGACCUGCCGGUGCAUGCCCUGUCAGUACCUUCCACAUUCAGGUCUUGAGGUGUGACCAUGAGGGCAGUGCAUCUGAUGGUAACUUCUUGUGGGUGUUUGCUUCUAGUUGUGGACACAGAGAGUGCUCUUUCAGCCCCUGAGCUAGAGCCAGAUUCCAUGCUGAUUCCAAGCUGGUAUCUCAAGCGUGAGUAGUCAAGUCUCUACUGCCUUACAAGAAUGAACACUCCAUUAUCCUACUUACUCAUGGGAAAUGUACCUUCAUAGGUUAACCUUCUUUUGUAACUCUAACCUAGGGAAGAAUGAUGACAAGGUCCCUGAAGAAUUCCCUGAAGGAGUCCCUGAAGUUCCAGAGGAGCUUCCGACAGCCUUGGAUGAAGCCUCAUCUGAGACAGAUUCUGAGUCUGUGCUGGAGACACUUCCUAUGGAAGAAAGUGACAGUGUGCCAGGCUCAGAUGACAAAACAGAACCAAUACAGGACACCAGCAUGCUUGCUGAGUCUGAGGAAGGUUCAGGGUCAGCUACUGUGCAAAAAGCCAAGACUGCUGGAUACUGUGACCCCAGCAAGUACUACAUCCUAGGGACAGUAACAGCCUUAGCUUUGAUUCUGCUUGGGGCAAUGUCCGGGUAUAUAGGCCUGUAUCAGCUGCUGAAGAGAGACAUGAAGACUUGGGAAGACAAAGAAGCACCAGGAGAAGUCUACACUGACUCUUCCUGGGAAAGCCAUGGUCAGCCUGGAGGUACAGGUGAAGCAGAGUCAGGAGAAGGAUCAGGAAGGGGCGGGAGAGCCCAAGUCAACAGGUUCAGGGACAGCUGCCACCUGUUUCCUGAGGUCUUUGCAGCAGAGCUUGCCCAAUUGUACAAGACCAUGGGUGCAGACCCCUCACCUCUGCCCACAUGUCCCUUCUGUGCUCUGGCUGAUGGUGCCUCUUCACAGGACCACUGGAUUUCCCUGGACUCACCUCAGCCCACACCAUCCUGGUGUCCCUGCUACCAGCACCAGCAGGAAUACUUUAUAUUAGAG